This 25461-nucleotide long non-coding RNA is filed under the name Citrus sinensis (sweet orange). RNAcentral's name for it is "long non-coding RNA (CSIN_LNC004285)". Lineage: Eukaryota; Viridiplantae; Streptophyta; Magnoliopsida; Sapindales; Rutaceae. The record is from RNAcentral.
UCUAGGCCCUGUUUUACUUUGCAACAAACAAGACAUAGAUAAGGCUGAGAGGGGUAAAAAGGCAGCAGUUGAUAUCUCUGAAUGCUUAAACUGGUUGGAUUCGUGGCCACCUAACUCGGUGGUGUACGUUUGUCUUGGAAGUAUUUGUAAUCUAACAUCUUCGCAAAUGAUUGAGCUUGGUUUAGGUCUAGAAGCCUCUAAGAAACCAUUUAUUUGGGUUAUCAGGGGAGGAAAUAACACAUCUAAAGAAAUACAAGAGUGGUUAUUAGAAGAAAAAUUUGAGGAAAGGGUUAAAGGAAGAGGCAUUUUGAUCCUUGGAUGGGCUCCACAAGUACUGAUAUUGUCACACCCUUCAAUUGGAGGAUUUUUAACACAUUGUAGUUGGAACUCAUCUCUUGAAGGGAUAUCAGCCGGCGUACCCCUGAUCACAUGGCCACUUUAUGGGGACCAAUUUUGGAACGAAAAGUUGAUUGUGCAAGUUCUAAAUAUUGGGGUGAGGAUUGGAGUGGAAGUUCCCUUAGAUUUUGGGGAGGAAGAAGAGAUUGGGGUAUUGGUAAAGAAGGAAGAUGUUGUAAAGGCUAUUAACAUACUCAUGGAUGAAGGAGGGGAAACAGAUGACAGAAGAAAAAGAGCCAGAGAAUUCCAGAUAAUGGCAAAAAGGGCAACAGAAGAAACAAGAUCUUCUUCCCUCAUGAUCAAACUAUUAAUCCAAGAUAUCAUGCAACAGCCACAUGGUGAUGACCAACAUAUAUAACGCUUGAGAGAUUAAUUUCUUAAUUUGUUUCAUGUGUACUUGUUAAUUCACUUAUUUUAUUUUAUUUUUUUUGAGAGGUUAAUUCACUUAUCUAUUAUGGUACUAUUGUUAAAUCUGUGUUCAUCCAUUGAUCAGAUAUGCAUUAUUCCCUGAUUAUCAAGGAAUCUCGGCCGAGCAACUGUUUAUAAUUUUAGGACUCGUUUGGGAGUGUGGUGCGAUAGCUGGGCUGUUAAAACCUAGCUGCUGAGGUGUUUGGUAACACUUGUAGCUGGGCUUUGGCAGCUUAGUAGAUUUUUUUUCCUAACUUCUACUCUACAACUAUAUCUUUUACUUUACAGCAGCUGCAGCUUAAAAGUUACAGCACUUCACUCCCAAACACACAUUUAAUUAACUCAAACUAGUUUGUAGGGUAUAAUCAAUAAACAAUUAUAAUGAUUUACUUGCAAUUGACUGCAUUAAAAUAUAUUCUUUUAAUGUUUAUAAUUAUAAGUUGUACUAUCAAAAAGUUAUUGUUAAAUUAAUUAUAUAUAAAUUAAUUAAUAUCCGCCAACGCAAUGUUUGAAAAAUUCUCUUAAUUGUCCACUGUUUGACCGAGCAUUGACUAGUCGCCAUUGCUCCAAUGGCGGCUGGUGGUGGUAAUCUGCCACUGUCGAAACCACCCUACACACCAGUGACCUCUCCUUUGGCCGGCAACAACCAUCACAACCGCACUCACACCCAAACCAAAGGCCAAAAACGUGUUCGCAAUGUCGAAUCCUGCCCAUCGCCGCCGCCACACCUGUUGCCAUCGAUGAGGACCACCUUCUGCCAUCGACCAUCUCCUCAGCCCACCUCUUACAGCUACUGCUUUGAGAGAUAAUGCUGGAUGGGCUGAGGUAACAAAGCCUUCUUCUUCUAUUAAGGAUGAUUUAGGUAUUCAGAGGGUUUCCACUGGUGCUACUUUUUUCUGAGCUAUAGUGGAGGAUAUUCAAUCCGUGACUAUGGGUUUUAAUUCCCAUUCUACAGAUAUUCAUUUUUAGUUGGAUGAGGAGCUUAGCUCUGAUGAGAAUCCUGUGGCUGAUGAUUAUAUUACGUCUGAGCCUGAGCAUUCUGGAGGGGGUGAUCUUGACCCCAACUUCAGUGUUGUUAGUCCACAUUCCUCUAGUUCGAGAAAAGAUUUCACAUUAGUUAUUGGUCACAGGUAUCGUAGGCAGUCUUGAGGCAUUUGCAUUAAUUAAUUAUCUUUAACUUCUUAUUUGUUCUCAUAAUGUUUUUGUUAUUUUUUUGGAUUUGUUGGUUGUGUUGUUAUUUUGCUUGUAGGUUUUAGUUUGUGUCCUCCUCCAUAUGUAAUUUCUUUUAUUUCAAUAGUCUACAGUUAAGAGGAUCCCGCCUAACCCUCCCACCUUAGGGUGGUUUUAAAUUAAAAAGGAAAAUUAUCAUUCGUAUACUCUUAGUUUACUCCGUUAUAAAAAAUACUACAAUAUUUUGAGGGUGUAUCAAUCGUACAUCCUAAGUUGACAAAAUGUAUCUACCAUCCACUAAAUCGUUACUUGUCGUUUAAAUAUGAUGAUGUUAGAGGGGUAAUAUGGUCUUUUCAUAUGAUACAAGUGAUAAUUUAAAAGUAUACAAGUGAUAAUAAGAGAAUUUAAGGGUAUAUAAGUGAUAAUUUUUCUUUACUUUAAUUUAAGUUUUAUGGGUAAAAUCUUCAAUUCGCUAUAAUUCCAUUAACUUGCAAAUGACAGCUAACGGUUUAGUGGUCAGCAGAUAGUUUCUGUUAAUUUAAGGUGGACAAUUAUACAACCUCAAAGUGUUGUAGUAUUUUUGAUAAUAUAACAACAAUAUGGUAUACGAAUGAUAAUUUCUCAAUUUGAAAAAAACGUUACUGUUAAAUUCAAAUUAAUUUCGUUACUGUAAUUGUAAUUGAAUUUAAUAAUUUUAAAUCCAAUAAAAUUUGCCACAUAUUGAUUUAAAUUUAUAUUAUCAUUACUUAACGUCGUAUUAGUUUUUAAUUGUUGAGUGUACUAUUACAUACAAUUUGUUGAAAUUUAGAUUGUUAAUUUUCAAGGUCAAAAGGAUAUUUAUUUUUAUAAUUUUAUAAAGAAGUUCAGAAGGAUUAUUUGUGUUGGAGAUAAAAAUUUGGUUGGACAAAUAGAAGCUUGGGAUAAUUUAAUUACAAUUUAAGUACCCCUAUCUAAGGAAGAAAGUGACCAAUUAGGUUGUACCACGUAUACAAAAGAUUAAUGAUGCCCCGAUGCAAAAGGUCGGAUCCAACUCACAUUCAUCUUUUUUCUUGAGAUGGGAUUACUUUGUUUGAUUAUCGAAAUAUCAUCACUGACCACUACCACCAAUCGCCCUCUAAUAGCCUCGUAAAUAAGAAAUUAAAAUUUCAACAUAAACAGAGAUACACAAAAUAUAUUAAUCUGACACAAAAUAUUUCUGCUAUUAGUAAAUUAUCAUCAUUAAUAUCAAUACCUUACUUUAUCUUUUAAUCAACAUACAAGUGUUAUCAACAAUGUUAACAAGUAAAUUAUGUACAAUUAUCGUUAAUAAUUAAUUAAACAAAUAAAAAUCUAACUUCAGUAAUCAAUCAUUACGUUCAAGUAAUUGAAGUAAAACAAACAAAAUUUAUCAAUUAAAAUAAGAUAUCAGUAAUAUUAAAUUUAAAAAUUAUAAAACUUCUAGUUAUUAAAAACUUAUUUUGUGUGUGUAUAUGCUGUGCUGAGAUAAGUUAGGUUUAGAAAUUAAGAACUUUAACGGACAUAUAUUUAUGAUUGAAUUUUUUAAUGUAAGUUUUAUUAUUAAAAUUAAAAAUAUAAAUAAUUAAAAUAAAGAAUGUAGGUGUGAGUAUCCAAUAGAUUUUUUCUCAAUACCAAAUCUAUUCGCAUCCUACAACAAAUUUCAGUUAAAAUACUAAAUUCACUCACAACCCAUAAAAUUAUUCACAGCAGAUAAGUUUUUACAGACGAAUUUGGACUGCUUUGUGGGUUGAUGAAUAAUUUUGCCAUUCCUGAAUUCAAGGUUCAUCGUUUGCAAGGUCCCUCAUAAAUCAAGCAUCCUCUUUCGUGGCUCUAUUCUUCAAAGCUUAACUUUCCCACCAGUUAUCAAAGUUCACCCUCAAGAUAGCCUGAAAGCUACUUCCUUAAAUAUUUUAGUUCAUCUGAGGCUUGACAAAAAAUGAGCUAAAAUAACUAGUGUCUUUUAUGCCUUAAAAUAUUAAAUUUGAAAAAUCAAAAAAGAGUUAUUAGGAAAAUAUAAGGUGCCUUUAGUAUAGUUUUUGUUUUGUAGUUUUUCAUUUUCCUAGAAUGAAAACUAUAAAAAUUUUUUUUUAGGUCUAUUUUUUAAUAGUAAAUGUAUCAACUGAAAAAAAGUUGUUCUUGUUUCUCAACUUCACAAAAGAGAGUGCAGAACAGAAAUUGGCAUUCUCUACUAUACAAACACACACACUACUUGCCUCACUUUUGUAGCUUGGAACCAUUGCCAAUAUUUAUUAAGCUUGUAACCCUCUAUUUCUUCCUUUUUUUUUAAUAAUAUCAACACAAUAUUUUACUAUUUAUUCAUAAAUUUACGGUUUCUUGUCAGAUAAGAUUUAUUUUUGCUCCAACAUUUUGCAAUUUUAUAGAUAUUCUUAAAUUAUUUUUUAUCUCAUUUUUUAAAAAUAAAAUUUAAAAUAGUCAAAUAAAAUUUAAAUUGUAUAAAUUAUGAUAAAAUAAAUGAACAUUUUUAGUUCAUUAAAGAUUAGACAAUUAGAAAAAUAAUUACAUUUAUCAUUAUCAAUUUAAAACAUGAUAAUUUCUAAAAUUUUAAAUAAAUAAAUAUACAUAUUUAAAAAAAUUACCUACACAUUAUUCAAAAAGAAAUGUUUUGGACAAAAUACUAAAUGUAUUUUCAUUUUUUUUCAUAAAUUAUAAUUUAGAAAUAAGCUACCAAAUGUAUCUUCAAAUAUCGAAACAACCCAUCAAAAACAUCAUCUUUCUUCUGCAAAACAAGUUUAGAAAACACCAAUUGAAAAACAAUACCAAAUACAACCUAAAUGUUUGGUACAAUUAUUUGAAUUUAGUUUAGAUUAUAGAACUGUAAAUAAUGAAAUAUAAAAAAAAUAUUUUAAUAUUCCAAGUAAUUUAUUUAUAAUAUUAUAAUAGAUUUAACAAAAGAUUAUUGAAAAAUAAGUGUGAUUGAUUAUUUGAUGGUCUCACUUUAAUAAAUGAAAUCUUGGAAGUUCAAGUCCUCUUCUCAUAAUAUAUUCCAUUUUAACAGACUAAUUCAACAGAUAGUUUGUCUCGAAAAACACUAGCGGGCCAGCCGGCGGGCUUGAAACAUUAGCCCAAUAUAGCAAUCACCGUGAACUUCUAAAGCAAUAUUAUCUUGUCAUCCCCUCAAAGUUUGCUGAAUAAAAUAAAUAAUUAAAUAAAUUCAGCCCAAUAUGGCCAUCUCUUCUUGGAAUAUAUUCCAUUGUUAUUAAAAGCUUAUUUUAUGUGUGUGUGUGUGUAUGCUGCGCUGAGAUAAGUUAGGUUUAGAAAUUAAGAACUUUAGCUGACAUUCAUUUAUGAUUAAAUUUUUUAAUGUAAGUUUUAUGAUUAAAAUUAAAAAUAUAAAUAAUUAAAAUAAAGAAUGUAGGCGUGAGUAUCCAGUAGAUUUUUUCUCAAUACCAAAUCAACUCGCAUCCUGCAGCGGAUUUCAAUUUAAAAUACUAAACCCACUCACAACCCAGAAAAUUAUUCACAGCAGGUAAGGUUUUAUAGACGAAUUUGGACUGCUUUGUGGGAUGAUGAAUAAUUUUGCCAUCCUUGAACUCAAGGUUCAUCGUUUGCAAGGUCCCUCAUAAAUCAAGCAUCCUCUUUCGUGGCUCUAUUCUUCAAAGCUUAACUUUCCCACCAGUUAUCAAAGUUCACCCUCAAGAUAGCCUGAAAGCUACUUCCUUAAAUAUUUUAGUUCAUCUGAGGCUUGACAAAAAAUGAGCUAAAAUAACUAGUGUCUUUUAUGCCUUAAAAUAUUAAAUUUGAAAAAUCAAAAAAGAGUUAUUAGGAAAAUAUAAGGUGCCUUUAGUAUAGUUUUUGUUUUGUAGUUUUUCAUUUUCCUAGAAUGAAAACUAUAAAAUUUAUUUUUUAGGUCUAUUUUUUAACAGUAAAUGUAUCAACUGAAAUAUAUUUUUUUUCUUUAUUAAGCUUUUAACCCUUUAUUUCUUCCUUUUUUUAUAAUAUCAAUACAAUAUUUUACUAUUUAUUAAUAAAUUUAUGGGUUCUUGUCAGAUAAGAUUAUUUUUGCUCCAACAUUUUUGCAAUUUUAUAGAUAUUCUUAAAUUAUUUUUAUCUCAUUUUUAAAAAGUAAAAUUUAAAAUAGUCAAAUAAAAUUUAAAAUGUAUAAAUUAUGAUAAAAUAAAUGAACCAUUUUUAGUUCAUUUAAGAUUAGACUAUUAGAAAAAUAAUUACAUUUAUCAUUAUCAAUUUAAACAUGAUAAUUUCUAAACUAUUUAAAAAUUAAUUCAAAUAAAUAAAAAAAUAAAUUUAAAAAAUUACCUAAACAUUAUUCAAAAAGAAAUUUUUUGGACAAAAUACUAAAUUUAUUUUCAUUGGUUUUUUUUUCAUAAAUUAUAAUUUAGAAAUAAGCUACCAAAUGUAUCUUCAAAUAUCGAAACAACCCAUCAAAAGCAUCAUCUUUCUUCUGCAAACCAAGUUUAGAAAACACCAAUUGAAAAAAAAUACCAAAUACAACCUAAAUUUUGGUACAAUUAUUUGAAUUUAGUUUAGAUUAUAGAACUGUAAAUAAUGAAAUAUAAAAAAUUAUUUUAAUAUUCCAAGUAAUUUAUUUAUAAUAUUAUAAUAGAUUUAACAAAAGAUUAUUGAAAAAGAAGUGUGAUUUGAUCAUUUGAUUGUCUCUCUUUAAUAUAUGAAAUCUUAGAAGUUCAAGUCCUCUUUUUAUAAUAUAUUCCAUUUUAACAGAUUAAUUCAACAAAUAGCUUGUCUCGAAAAACAAUAGUGGGCCGGGUGGCGGGCUUGAAACAUUAGCCCAAUAUAGCAAUCACCAUCAACUUCUAAAGCAAUAUUAUCUUGUCAUCUGUUCAAAGUUUGCUGAAUACAAUAAGUAAAUAAAUUCAGCCCAAUAUGGCCAUCUCUUCUUGGAAUAUAUUCCAUUCAUUGAUGGAAGAACUAAAUAUAUAAACAAAUACCCACAGAUUUUUUAAUUAUCAUCAAAUUGAUAGGACAUCACUCAUAAGCUGACAAAUUAAGUAGAUCGAUCAAACCGCCUUGUUGUAUGAAUGAAACUGAUUGUUCAUGAAUUAAUCAAAUGAAUUCCUGCCCUCUUGUUUGUUGGAUGACAAAUUCAAUGAGCAUUUCUAUGUUGCGAUGAGAAGAUCCACCUACUCCAAUAGCACGAUUUGCUAUCUCCCCAAGCUGCCUUGCUCUCUUUCUCCUCUUCUCUCCUUGUUUGCCUCGAUCCAUCAGUUUUUCAAUAGCUUCUUUCACUUUCUCCCUCUUAAUCACUAAACCAGACUUGUCUUCCAAACCCCAUGUCACUGCAGCCUCAAUUCCAACACUCACUCCAAUCCCUAAUACUUGCACAGCUAACUUCUCAUUAUAAAAUUGCUCGGCAAACAAAGGGCAUGUUACUAACGGCACUCCCGCACUCACUCCUUCUAGUGUUGAAUUCCAACCGCAAUGUGUCAAGAACCCUCCAAUUGCUCGAUGAGAUAAUAGCAACACUUGAGGUGCCCAUCCCCGAAUUAUAAAUCCUCUCCCUGUUGUCCUUUCCUCAAAUCCUUCUUCUUGGAUCCACUUCUCUAAACCUUGUGAUCUUUCACCUCCUCUUAUUACCCAAAUGAACGGCUGACUUGAUGCUUCUAAGCCUAACCCAAGUUCUAAAAGUUGCCAAGUAGCAAGGCCACAGAUACUCCCAAGACAAGCAUAAAUCACAGACCCAGGUUCCCAUGAGUCAAGCCAUUUCAAGCACUGUUCAUAAUCAUCUACCGUUGAUCCAUUUUCACCUCUGCAUCUCUCAGCUUUAUCUAUGUUCAACUUAUUGCAAGCCGAAACCGGGCCAAUACACCAAACCUUAUCACCUUUGACCCUUUUAUAUUCUUUGACAUAUUCUGCUUCCAAUUCUUCGAAAGUAUUAACCACAAUUCCAUCUGCUGAUUGCUCUGCUGCCCUGAUAUUAUGACGGACUUGGGUCAAGUCCUGUACAUGUGAGCCUGCAGGAUUGAGAGCUUCUGGUAACUGUGCUUUAAUUAAUUCAAUCCGAUGAGGCAAGCCAGGCACCACAAACGACUCAAACUUGGAAACUUUAGAAAUCUCGAGCUUGUGUGUACAACAGCAAGCAAAACAACCCAUUCCAUCGAACAAAAUCGUCGGGAUCUUAAAGUUUAUAGCAGAAUUAACUGUCCAGGGAAGAUUCUUACCGGAGAUUAUGCAGCUCGGACGGGGAUGUAGCUUGUCAAAGAGUUGCUCAAAUGGCUGUUUUAGCAUGCUAGCAGCAUGAAAAAAGUUCUUGAUGAGAUCACGUGAAGGAAGUUUGUCCAUGUUUUCACAUCCUUGAGGCAAACCAGACUCAACAGAUGGGAAUUCAAGUUGGAGAAGCUGAAUUGAGAGACCUGAUUCAACAGCACGCUUAAUUGUGAUAUUAAAUCUCGUGGUGUUGAGAGGUGUAGUGACAAUGGUGACUUUGAUGCCAUGUUCUGCCAAAAGUCUAGCCAUGUCUAUCAUUGGAAUAAGGUGACCCGGAGACAUUAAGGGUAUCAAAACAAAAUGAAGUUGAUGGGCAGGUAAAGGUGAAGCCAUGUCAAGUCAGUUGCUGGGUUUUGCUGCUUCUAUUGUGAGAAACUUCAACUUCGAAAUAUAUCUUGCAGUCACAGUUGGUAUCUUAUUAACAUAUCUUAAAUUCAUGGCUUACUUAGAACACUAGUCUGGCUGAAUUAGGUAUUCAAGAUAGUUAAUGCUUUAUCAAUGUUAUUAAGAAAAUCAGGCACAAUUUUUAUUUCCUAAUAUGUUUGGAGACAAGAUCCUCAUAUUUAUUUCUUUUAAAGGGAGACAAUUUUACUCCAACCCAAUUUCAUUGGGAGAGAAUUUCUAUCCUCACGUAAUACCAUAAGGAUAUCUAUUAUAUCUCGAAUUAAUUUUAUCCCCACCCAAUUUUCACUAGGAGAGAAAUUGAAUCCCAGACAUUGCUGGGACUCAAACACAUGCACUCGAUGGGUUGUGCCAAUGGGUUACGAGCCCAUUGGCGUUUCUUUUUAUAGCAUUAUUCUUGAAGAAACUCACUCUUGGGAGCUUAAUUUGUCGACUGCUUCUUUUGUUUAAGAUUUGACAAAGGUGUGAAACAAAAGUAUUGUUUAUGUGUCACUUUUUUGUGAAAUUGUAAAAUACAUAAGAGAUAUCAUAUCUACCACACAAUAAAUAAAUCAUGCUUUGACAUGUAUAUAUUUAUUUUGAAAAAUUACCAUAUAAGUGGUGGUUAUAUUAAAUUUAAUUACACAUGUCAUACAUGUAUUAGUUGGUUACCUUUGAUGUAUUUUAAAAUUCCUUAACUUUUUUUGUUGUUGCUACUAAUAAUAUUCUUGUAAUAUAUUAUUUGUUAUGGAAAUUAUUAGAUAUAAUUUUGUUACUAAUAAUAAAAAUAUUUUUUAUUUAAAAAAAUUAUUAGCUGAUGAAAAACAUUUUAAAUCUCAGUAACUUGCUAUUUAAUUAGAAGGCUAUGGCUAAUUGGAAGCUGAUUCAAGUCCCAAGCAAUUGAACAUGACAUGUUUGGAGUAAUUGAAUAUGACAUGUUUGGUUCAUGUAUAUUGAAUGCUGAUGGUUUUUGGUUCAUGUAUAUUGAAUGUUCAUGGUUGACCAUUUUAACAAUAUAUAUUAAUUGCGCCCUCCCCAGUUGCAGAAAAGUAUCUAAACGGAUAGACGAUGAUACGGUUAAUGUCAAACUUAUUCAUUACGAUUAAUGAAAAAAGGAAUACCACUUGCUGAAUGAUAGUUUUUUAUUAUAUACAAUUUAAUUUAUGAAUAUUAAAUACUACGUUACAUCGAAAGAAAAAAAUUAAUGGAAUCUUAAUUUUUAACACCAAACUAAGAACUUAGAAGUGAUUUAUUAAAGAUUCUCAUUUAUGACUUUUACGUGUUGUGAUUUGCGAAAUAUGCUUAUAUCCUGAAACUUUCACGCGCGAAAGUUGGAUGAAAUCGAAACCUUCUCGAAUUCGAGAGAAGGGGGUCGCCUAGUGGCUAAAGGAGAUUUGUUUUGAAAGUCAUCAUCCGGCCGGUGACAAUAUGUUAAGAAGUGGUCAGCUUGUUACGAAAUGACAUUUUGCCCCGAGGAGCAUGUUUUAACAUCAUGAUGAUGAAAGCAUCUUAUUUAUUUACAAGUAUACUCUAUAUGAAAAAGAUUACGUAGUCCAUAAACUAACACAAUACUUGGAAGGACGUCGUUAAUUGCUCAAAAUAUUUUUCUUCAAAUGACCAUUUAGCCCAUAUAUUGUUGCUGCUUUAUCUCUUAUUCUUUCUUUGCUCCUUAAUUUGUUCAACGAACAAAAAUAGGUGAAGGCAAGACUGAGAAUUCUGGCUUGCCAGUACCAUAUAGUAUAAUGCCCAAGCCAACUAAUUUGAGAGAGAGAAAAGGGAAAUCUGUAAACUAGAAUAAAGACUUUAAAGUAGAUAACUCAUUUCCCCUGGAAAAGAGAGAAAGCAAAUCAAAAGUUCUGAGUAUUGGGAUUAUGUGUUUUUUAAAGUAUAUUUAUUCAUUUAUUUUGUAAUAAAUAAUUUUUUAUUAAUAAAUUAUUUGAGAUAUUUUUUAGAUAUUUUAAUUAUAAUAUUUUAAAUAAGAUCUUUUUGAUUAUAUUAUACGUAUUUAUGUGAUCACUAUAUGGAUUCAUAAAAGAUAUAGAUAUAAUUUAUUUCAUGAUUAAAUAAAUUGAGUUUACAGUUGAUAAAUAGAGGUGGAUGCUUAAUUUAAUUUUUUACUGUUAUAAAUAUAUUGCAUUAUUUGUCUUAAUCAUGUAUAAAUUUACUGAUUUAGUUUUGACUAUUGAACUUGAUCACAUGUGAGGUUUAAUUAACCUUAAAAUGAUUUUCACACUUAUUAAAUCUUGUAGUUAUUGAUUUUAUUACAGUCUCAAUCUUGAAUUAAUUAUAGUUUUAAUGUUUGUGAUUAUCAUUUCAUUUGAGAUACUAAUGAGCACGACAUGCUUGCAUAUCCUAUCUUUGAUUCUUCUUAGAUUCUAUUUAAUACAACUUUUCAAACAAAAUUUAUUCAAGAGGGAAUUUUAUUAGUAGAGUUUUUAUUUAAUAAUAAUAAUGGUUUAGUCAUCGAUGAGAAAUUUUAUUAGAAAUUAGAAAUUGCAUUAAUUGACAAGUUUUUAAAGCUAUGAUAUUAAAAAAAUUAUAAUAUUGUGAAAUAAAUAAUAGGACAUUUUACAAAAUUCUCUAACCUCUACUAUUAAAAGUGCAGAAUUUAAACUUUUGGUGGUAGAGGUUGUUGGAGAAAAUCAGUUUUUAAAUUUUUAUAAAAACUUUUAGGAUCGUUCUCAUACAAUAUAUAAGAAUUUAUAAUCUAGAAAUCGUACCUUGAAAAUCCAAUUUGGCUUUUUCCACUAAAGUGAUUUACGCUCCCAUAUCACGAUCCGUCACCACCACUCCUGUUAGAUCACGAUCCGCCACCAAAUAAUCUUCCAGGCUAUGACUCAAGUUUGAUCUGCACUUAACGUGUAUGCGCCUUUAUCACCAUUAAAGUAACUAGUACGAGAAAAUUUUUCUCUCAAAUUUAGAGAGAAAAAUAUUUUUCUCUGAUGUGUAUAUUGCAGGUCUCCUCUAUUUUCUUUAGAGAAAAUAAGCCUUUUUAUAUCUCCCUUUAGUGAAAACCAUUGGCUCCAAAUAAUAAAAAUCAAAAGUCAUGUUACUUGCUUUUUCUAUAGGGAGGCCACCUUGUAAAAUAAUAUAAGGCCCCUUAUAUAUAAGCAUAUUAAAUUGAGCCUCCCACUAAAUGGUAUAUUUAGGCUUUUAAUCCAAAUAGCUAGUUAUUUUGCUUAUUAAUCCAGUAGUGGUGCAGUCAAUUAAAUGAGCUAACCCGGGGAUCAUUUGAGAACAUACAAUAGUGGUUACAAUAAUUAGGUUUGUAAUUAAACUAGCCCAAUUAUUUAAUUCUAAAACUACUCCACUAAAAGAUUGGAACUGACCUCCAUAAUUGUAUGCUCGAAUAAUAAUUCGUCCCAAGCCACAUUGAUUUCUUUACUGCAUAAUCCUUUGUACCACAUCGUUAAUUAAAUCGAUAUCUUAACUGUCCAAUCGAUUUAAUUACAUCUUAUUCCUUAAUACGUACUGGUUUUCUCUAAUGAUCAUUUUCAACAUAAUAAAUAUGUUGACACACUCUGGCCAGAGAAUUCUAUGAUCAAGGGCCGAAAACCCAUCAAGAGAUGUGUUGUACAAAUUCUAUAUUGUUAAUCUAUAACUUCAAUAUUCAUAAUUGCUCCCACCAAGAUACCGGGUAAUCUUGACUACAAGUGUGUAUCGUGCCCAUUGGUAAUUCAAAUGAAAUAACAAUUACAAUCAUGAAAUUAUAACUAACUCAAGAUUAAGAUUACAGUAAAAUCAAUGCCUGUGAGAUUUAAUAAGUCUGACAGUCAUUUCAAGGUUAAUUAAAUCUCAUAUGUGAUCCAACUCAGUUUAGUCAAACUACAUCAGUAGAUUUAUACAAUUGAAAAUAAUUGUCACUAAAAAGUGUACAUUUAAUAAGGAUAAAAUUAUUAGGUUUUCACUUAUUGUGCCGAUUAAUGCGCUCAUCAUUUCUAAAUUAUUUUAAUACUCCCCAAAUAUAUUUUAUGUUAAAUUAAUUUAUAAUUUAUUAAUUUUUAUCUUGUAAAUAUUUUUCAGGAAUAAAGAUAGAAUUGGAGUUAAAAGCGGGAACAAAUAAGGACAGCUGGAGCAAUUCAAAAUUCAUCAAUCGUGAGAUGUUAUUAAAAAAAAAAGAAAAAAAAAAAGGGAUUGGCAAGCAUGUUUGUGAUGGUCAGGAGGCGAUCACGCCUCCUGACCAUCACACAAUUCAAUAUGUAUAUAUAUUAUAAAAAUAAAAUAACAUAUUAAUAUUAAUAAAAAAAAAGAAAAGAAGAUAAUUCCCUUGCCUAUAAAAGGCAAGGGGAUGCAAGCGAAUAGAAGGAAGAAAAGAGGGAUCUAAGUUUUGAGACAGAGUGAUAGCCAAGGGUGUAGCUGAAGAAUUUCUUUCUUUUUGUUUCUUUUCUUUUCGUCUGUAUCAAUUUUCUUUGUAAUUUCAUUUAAAAAAAUUUAUCAAAUAAAAAGAGUGUUGUGUUUUUUUUUCAAUAUGAGUGGCUAAUUUUAUUAAGCUGAGGUGAAGGGUGAAGCUCAAUGUUUCAAACUAUUAAAUUUAUUAUUUUUUCAAAUGAGUUUUUAAGUUUAUUUUAUUCUUUUUUAGUUAUUUUUAUGUCAUGCUAAUUUAUAAAAUUUUUUUGGAUUUGUAUGGUAUUCUGACAUAAUGUCGAUCCAUUAAUAUAGUGUGACACAUUAGGUACUUUAUUUCAUAUUUAUCCACACACAUAGAAUUAAAUGAUAUAAUAAUUAACUGGUAAAAGUGAGGCAAAAUAUAAAUAAGAGAGUAUUAAAAUUAUAGUUUGAAUACUGAGAGUAGAUCCCGUAACCUUAGCAUAUCUUUUUGAUUUUAAAUAAUUUAUUUUCCCCACAAUUAAUUUUCUUUGUUUAACAAAUUGACAACUAGAUUUUAAAAUUUCCUGUUUGUUUCGACCCCGGAUUCACCGGGUUAUAUUAUAAUUAGACACUCUUAUACUUGGGAGUAAUACACUUUUGAGUUGUACCAAAUUUUUGACGCCGUUGCCGAGGAGUUUUCUAAAUUUGUUGUUAGUUUGUCUUUACUUAUUUUUAUUUUAUUUUAAUUUUUUUUGUCGUUAUUAUCUUUCUGUGAUCCUAUUUUAUUCUCUUUUUAUAAAACUUCAGUUAGCACCCCUCCUCUUUUCAAACUUUAACAUUAUCCAUAACAUUUGUGAGAAACUUCAUUUUCGCCCAGAAACCUUUGCAAAUCAGUCCCCAAAUCGAAUUUAUUUCUUAAUAUUUCUGCAAUUUACUUUCGUAUUUAUUUUAAAUGGUCGGUUCUACCGCCUAUCAUUUUAAUUUCAGUUUAUUUAUUCUUGUACAUUAAUUUAUUUAAUUUAUGUUUUAUUAUAUGGCUGGUUUUAAAAUACCGCCUAAACCGUUAUUUUAAUUUCUUUGUUUAUGGCUGGUUUCACCGCCUAAUUUAUUUAUUUUUCAGUUUGUUUAUUUUUAUUUUUUAUUUUUUCUUUUUAAUUUCCAGUUUAUUUUUAUUUUCUGCAAUUUUCAUUUAACGUUUUAUGCAUCAUUGGUUUAGCACACAUCAUUAGCAUUGCAUGCAUUGUUGGUCUCGUACAAAUAGUGGCAGAUUAAUUAGAAGAUCACCUUCACCACCCUUAGAUAUGGUUGGCAUAGGAGCUGCAAAUAUUUCGGAGCACGAAAAUGACCAAGCCUUGCAAAAUCUUUAUGAACAGCCUAGGACCCUUAGAGACUUCAUGCAUCCUACUGGAACAGGGUCACCAUCAUGCAUAGUUUUCCCUCCUGAUGCAUCACGUUUUAAUUUCAAACCUGAUAUCAUUCAACUUCUUCCUACUUUUCAUGGUUUUAAGUCUGAAAAUCCAUAUUUGCAUUUAAGGGAAUUUGAGGAAGUCUGUAAUACAUGUACUGAUCAAAAUUGUAGCAUGAAUAUAAUCAGGCUUAAGUUUUUUCCUUUCUCACUAAAGGAUAAAUCUAAAACUUGGCUACAAAAUCUUAGGUCAGGAUCCAUCAGAACUUGGGAUGAAAUGCGAGCACAAUUUUUGAAAACAUUCUUCCCACCCCACAGAACAAAUUCUUACAAAAGAAAAAUCACCACAUUCACUCAGAAAUCAGGAGAAACCCUCUACCAAUGUUGGGAUAGGUUUAAAGAACUACUUAACAUUUGCCCACACCACGGUUUUGAAACAUGGAGAUUAGUGUCUUAUUUUUACAAGGGUUAGACAAGUCGUUGAAAUAAUGUGUAAUGGUGAGUUUAGGGAUAAAAGUCCUGAAGAUGCAUUAAAUUAUCUUGACUAUAUAGCAGAGAAUGCACAACACUGGGAUACAAUUGGUUCUUAUGAGUCAUCAAGUAAACCCCAGUCAUCUCCAUCUGGUGGAGGCAUGUAUAACGUUAGGAAAGACUAUGAUUUUCAAGCCAAAUUUGCAUCAUUAGCUAGAAAAGUCGAAGCAUUAGAAUUGAAAAAGAAUGAUCAUGUAAAGUCUGUUCAAAAUAUUUCAUGUUAUAUUUGCGAUUCUACUGACCAUUCUACACAGGAUUGUCCAACUUUGCCAGCUCUGAGAGAAAGUUUACACGAACAAGUAAAUGUCAUUGACAAUUUCAAAAGGCCAAAUCCAAAUCCAUACUCCCAAACUUACAACUCUGGUAAGAGAAACUACCCAAAUUUCAGUUGGAGAAAUGACAAUCAAGCACAACCUUCACAACCAGUUCCUCCACGUCAAAAUUUCUAAAACUUCCAGAGUUACUCACCAUAUGUCCCACCACCAAGAAAUUCAUACGAUUGUAAGGCAUGUACUUGCUCAGAAUAAGCCUCUUGAUAGGCUGGUAAUGAUGGACAAUUCUGUGCUAUAUGAGACAAGUUAGAACAAAGAGCACAAACCUCAUUAGCUACACUAGGAUGAUGAUUCAUUGAUUGGUUCAGAGCUAAGGCAUAUACUAUCCUAGAAAGUGUAGCUAGAGUGGAUUUCACAUCAAAAUCAUCCUUAACUUCACAUAACCCCUUUCUAGAAACUUGAGAUGAUUUUUCCCUUUGAUUUGAAAAAUCCCACUGUUGAGAAUUCUCAAAAAGUGAAUUAAAGAAAUCCCAUGCAGUCCCUUCAUGUAAGUUCAAAAAUCUCCCACCAUUCAUAGACUCUACCAUAUGACGAUUUGACACAGUUAAACCAUUAUAAAAGCAUUGUAUAAGUCUCCAUUUCUUAAAAUCAUGGUGGGGACACUUGAGAAGUAAAUCAUUGAAUCUUUCCCAACACUUAUAAAAUUGUUCACACUCUCUUUGAUAAAAAUCACUUAUCUCUCUCCUAAGGGCAUUUGUUUUAGACAUAGGGAAAAACUUGGUGAGGAACUUAUUACUCAAUUCAUCCCACAUAUUAAUAGACCCAGCAGGAAGUGAAUUCAGCCAAGCUUUUGCUUUGACUUUUAAUGAGAAAGGGAACAUAUGAAGCCUAAUUGACUCAUCAUUAAAAUUUUGAAAACGAAAUAUAGAGCAUAUGUCCAAAAAUUCCUUAAUGUGCAAAUAUGGAUCCUCUCUAUCUAACCCAUGAAAAGAUGGUAAAAGUUGAAUGACUGAGGGCUUGAGUUCAAAGUGUGUUGUUAUGGUUUGUGGCAACACAAUACAAGAUGGUUGGUUGGCUGCAAGUGGUGAAAAAUAUUCUCUAAGGGUUUUCUCUGCUUGCACUGGUGGAAGUAUUGGCAAUAGUCUAUUUGGGUCGUCCAUCACUUCUAAAGAACUAUCUAGACUACUAUCAAUUUUUGACUCUUUUUUUACCAAACGAUUUGUUGAAUCACAUUCCCAAACACUCAUAAACUAACUAGACAAAAGAAGAAAAAUAAAACAAUAAUAAUAAAAAUAAACAAAAUUUAAAAUAAAAGAAAUCAAACAACCAAACAAUGAAUUCAAAGUAAAAAACAUUAUUUUUUUUUAAUUUUUUAUAUAAAAAAAUUAAAUAAAUAAAAUAAAAGACAACCUAAGUUAUAACUAGUGGAAGAAUUAAAUCAACCUAGAUUACACUGACUUUUUGACACAAUCCCCGGCAACGGCGCCAAAAAUUUAUUGUGAAAAUUUUAAUAUACUCACAAGCGCACGAAUCUAGAAAUAAAAUAGUGGUAACGAGGUCGAACCCACAGGGAUUGCUGAAAAGUCUAAUUUAAAUUUAAAAUUAAUAGUAAUUCUAACCUAGUUGAGCAAAUUGAGUUUCUAAUAAAAUUAAACCAAUUAAACUUAGAAAAUAAUUAAAGCAAAGGAGAAUUCAAUAGGACAAAAGUUACCAAGGUUUCAGAAUCCACCACUAUUACACUAGUAAUUAUCUAAAUAUUAAUUAAUCCCUAAUUUUAGUGUGACCACUCGAAAUCAAUCUAUAUCAUCUCAUGAAUAUAACAACUAAGCCCAAGUAAUUAAAUCUAAUAUAGGUUCUUUUUCUACUUAAUAGUAUGAUAUCUAAGAAUCUCAUGUAAACAUAUUGAAUAACAAAGAGUCAAAGUUUUCCUAAGCACUCUAUGUAAACAAUUUAAUGAAAGACAUAAAAUCAAAGAUAAUCAUGUAUAAACUUUAUAGAUCCAAGCAUAGAUUUAGUCAAAUAUUAAUCAUAACAAUAAAUAAUGCAUGAUAGAAUUGGUGAAAAGAUUUAAUAACAUCCAACUAAUCAUCUGAAACAAAAAUCAUAAUCAUUAAAGCACACAUGUAGGGAAUUAAUUAAAUAAAAAGAUAAUUAUUUCAUUAAAUAGGGCUUCAUCCUUAACCUCAGUAUAAGAAAAUUAGGUAGACAUACUUGAAUUAGGAGCAACAAAAGAAAUAAAAUCAGCCAUGGGAAAAUUUAAGAGCUGCUUCCGCUGCUUUAUUCUCUCUGUCUCGCGUCCUCCCUUUUGUUUUCGUCCCCUAAUGGCUGCUCCCUCCUCCAAAAGCCAAAAGCUUAGUUUUCUUAUAUAGCCUUUAAAAUGGGCCCCAUCUUAUCAAUUCUAAAGCCAAAAAGUUUUGCCCUUUUAUUUGUUUUGCUUCACUCACGUGUUGGGCACUUUGAAUUGCAAUAGGUUUCCUUUUUUCCAUUUAUGAAAGCCAAGUACGGGUCCUUUCUUAAAGCUAAAAUCAAUUUCUCUCUUUUGUCUACAUGUGCAUGAUGAAUCAACUUGUUGAAUUUGGUUCCUUGGCUUGAUUUCCACAUGCAUGUAUGUCUAAUUCCUUCCAAACAUCAAUUAAUCUUUAAUGCUUCCAAAAUUGAGCUCUUUUAUGCCCUUUUUACCCAUAAUCUCAAACCAAUUUCCUAUUCAAUAAAAUAAUGUAAUUAAUUAAAAAUAACAAAUAAAAAUAACUAGCAAUUAUAUAAUAAAGGAUAAAAUAUGUAUAUAAAUUAUGCUUAUCAAUGGUAUUGAUUAAAGGAAACUUAGAUAAUGGCCUGUAUGUUCUUCAAGGGUCUGUGAUCACAGGAGAUGUUGGAGUCUCAAACCAGAAUCUAAACAAAACCUUGUUGUGGCACUUUAGAUUAGGCCAUAUGAGUGAGAGAGGUUUAAGAGAACUAUCAAAAUAGGGAGUCCUGGGUAAAGACAAACUAGAGUCCCUAGAAUUUUGUGAGGAAUGUGUCCUAGGCAAGUCCUCAAGAGUUAAAUUCAGUACUGGUGCACAUGUUUCAAGAGGAACACUAGAUUAUGUUCAUGCUUAUCUGUGGGGACCCGCACAGACAGCAUCCUUAGGAGAGGCUAGGUACUUUCUAUCUCUAAUUGAUGACUAUUCUAGAAUGGUGUGGGUGUCUGUGUUGAAAAACAAAGAUGAGGUGUUUGAACAAUUCAAAACCUAGAAGACGCUAAUUGAAACUCAGACCAGCAUGAAGGUUAAGAAACUUAGAACUGAUAAUGGUUUAGAAUUCUAUAACAAGAGGUUUGAAGAUUUUUGCAGUAAGCAUGGAGUCAUGAGGCAAAGAACAAUAAGAUAUACACCUCAGCAAAAUGGACUAGCUGAGAGGAUGAACAGAACCUUAGUUGACAAAGUAAGGUGCAUGCUUAUUCACUCUAAGCUACCCAUGUCCUUAUGGGCUGAGGCUCUAUCAACAACUUGUUAUAUUGUGAACAGAAGCCCUUCAACUGGAAUUAACUUUAAAACACCAUAUGAACUAUAGUAUGGUAAACUAGUAGAUUAUUCCAGCCUGAAGAUCUUUGGUUGUCCAGCAUAUGCUCACAUCAAAUAAGGUAAAUUAGAGCCCAGGGCAUUGAGGUGUGUGUUUCUUGGUUACCCUGAAGGUGUAAAAAGGUAUAAACUAUGGUGCAUAGAAUUGAAGCCUCCAAAAGCAAUCAUCAGCAGGGAUGUAGUAUUUUGAGAUGCUUCAACAAUCAGUAUCAUUAAAGACUACUAAUGCAGAACUGGAAGAUAAAGAUGAGAAGUCUUAUUUUGAGGUGGAGCUAUCAAACUCAAACUAGAUAUAGAGAACAAGAUCAGAAGCUAGAAAAGUAACAGGCAUGGAAAUACAUGACACUAAGACUGAAACAACAAGUGAUCAGGAGAGAAGUGAUGAUUAUCAGUUAACAAGGGAUAGAGAAAAGAGAGUUAUAAGACCUCCUAGAAGAUAUGCAUAUGCAGAUUUAAUUGCAUUUGCAUUAACAGUAGCACAUGAAAUUGCAGCAGAUGAACCUAGAACAUACUCAGAAGUUAUUAACAGUAAUAAGGCAGAUGGAUGGAUCAAGGCUAUGGAUGAGGAAAUGAUGUCCUUGAGAAAAAAUCACACUUGGAAUCUCAUUGAAAGACUAGUAAACAAAAGGGUAGUUGGAUGCAAAUGGAUUUAUAGGAUUAAGGAGGGUAUACCAGGUGUUGAACCACAAAGAUACAAAGCCAGGUUGGUUGCAAAAGGCUUCACUCAGAAGGAGGGGGUUGACUUUACAGAAGUUUUUUCUCUAGUGGUGAGACAUGCUUCCUUGAGGAUCUUGUUAUCUCUAGUUGCUGUAAAAGACAUGCAUCUAUAGUAGAUGGAUGUGAAGACUGCUUUCCUGCAUGGUGAAAUAGAUGAGAUGAUAGUGAUGACUCAACCUGAAGGUCAUGAGGAUCAAGAAAAGGCUGAUCAUGUAUGUCACCUAAGAAAGUCACUAUAUGGACUAAAACGGUCUCCAAGACUACGGUACCUGAGAUUUGACAAGUUUAUGUCAGAACAUGGGUUUCAAAGGAGUAGUUUUGACUAUUGUGUUUACUUCAAAACCAUAGAAGGUGGUGACAAGAUUUAUUUACUGCUCUAUGUAGACGACAUGUUAAUAGCUCGUAAGAAGAUGAAGUACAUCAAUGAUUUGAAACAGCAGCUGAGCAAUACAUUCGAGAUGAAAGAUCUGGGUGCUGCAAAGAAGAUCCUUGGUGUUAAGCUGAUAAGAGACAGAAAGAAUGGUAUCCUAAGCCUAACACAAAACAAAUACAUCAGGAAAGUACUUGAGAAAUUCUAUAUGGAUAGAUGUAAACCAGUGCAGACACCAUUACCAGCUCAUUUCAAACUAUCCUGUCAGCAGUGUCCAAACUUUGAUUCAGAAAAGGAUGAAAUGACUAAGUUUCCAUAUUCAAGUGUUGUUGGAUGUCUAAUGUAUGCAAUGGUCCUGACUAGGCCUGAUCUCUCUCAUGCAGUGAGUGUAGUAAGCAGGUAUAUGGCAAACCCAGGGUUGGAUGUCUAAUGUAUGCAAUGGUCCUGACUAGGCCUGAUCUCUCUCAUGCAGUGAGUGUAGUAAGCAGGUAUAUGGCAAACCCAGGAAAAGAACAUUGGAAGGCUGUUGUAUGGAUCUUAAGAUACCUUGCUGGUACAGCUGAUUAUGGUUUAAUCUAUGGGGCUGAGAAACAUGCAGAGGUUUGAGUGGAAGGCUAUAUGGAUGCAGAUUAUGCUGGAGAUCUAGAUAAAAGAAGGACUUUAAUAGGUUUUUUGUUUAUGCUAAAUGGCUGCACUAUAAAUUGGAAAGCUUCACUGCAAAAGUGUUGUUGCUCUGUCUACAACUGAGGCAGAAUAUACAGCAGCUGGAAAGGCAAUAAAAGAAGCUAUAUGGCUUAGAGGGAUGGUGACAGAGCUGGGAUUUGAACAAAAGCAAAUUACAGUUCACUGUGAUAGCCAAAGUGCUAUAUGUCUGAGUAAGAAUCAAAUACACCAUGAGAAGGCCAAGCAUAUUGAUAUGAAGCUUCACUUUGUCAGAUUAGAAGUAUCAAAAGGUGUGGUUAAAUUGGUUAAAAUACACAUUGACAACAACAUUGCUGACAUGCUUACCAAUGCUGUACUAGGAGCUAAGUUUGAGUUCUGCUUGAACUCAGCUGGUAUUUGCAGGAUAUAGUCUGCAGAUAAGGAGUGGAAGGGUGAACCCAAGGAGUGAAUGAUUUUGAGUUCAAGGUGGAGAAUGUUGAAGUAUGAACUGCAAAUUAGUUUACGACAAGUCGGUUAAAGACUCGUCAAUACUAUGACAUGUCGAUUGGAGUCCUGAGAAGGCUGUAUGACAAGGAUAUUGUGUCAUUUGUGAUUGCAAGACAAGCAUGUGACUUCGCAUGUGAUUCACUUAAACGGAACGACAGUUUGGGCUGCUGUUUCAUCACUUAGAGCAAACAAGAUUAAGACACGUGGUCAGGGAGCUGAUCAGUGUUCUGUUAAGGUUGUUAACCAGCGCAAGAAGCUACUAGACUUUGUUACUGAACACAAGGGAAGUAUGUUGAUGACUGAGAGAUCCUUCUAGAUUGAGCAUUGCUUGUAUAUAUAGCCUGGUAUCUUGGAAUACUGAUAUGUGGUGUUUGUGUAAUCUUCUCUGGAAAACUUGUGCUCUGUAAACUCUCAUUCAAGUAAAGCUUGGGUUCUUUUUCCACAGUGGAUGUAGGCUUCCAUGGCCGAACCACUAUAAGCUUUCUCUGUGUUGUCUUUCUGUUCUUAGAUUCAUUCUUUGAUUUGACUUGGUUGUUUAGGUCGUUAAACAUUGCUUUAGAUUGUAGGUUGGUAAUCUAUCAUUUUAGAUUCAAGAACCUUAAUAGAGUGGAUCUUGGUGAGCCAUUAACAAUACUUUACUGGUUCUUGGCAUAACAUUUUACUGCAUAAUCCUUUGUACCACAUCGUCAAUUAAAUCGAUAUCUCAACUGUCCAAUCGAUUUAAUUACAUCUUAUUCCUUGAUACUUACUGGUUUUCUUUAAUGAUCAUUUUCAACAUAAUAAAUAUGUUGACACACUCUGGCCAGAGAAUUCUAUGAUCAAGGGCCGAAAACCCAUCAAGAGAUGUGUUGUACAAAUUCUAUAUUGUUAAUCUAUAACUCCAAUAUUCAUAAUUGCUCCCACCAAGAUACCGGGUAAUCUUGACUACAAGUGUGUGUCGUGCCCAUUGGUAACUCAAAUGGAAUAACAAUUACAAUCAUGAAAUUAUAACUAACUCAAGAUUAAGAUUACAGUAAAAUCAAUGCCUAUGAGAUUUAAUAAGUCUGACAGUCAUUUUAAGAUUAAUUAAAUCUCAUAUGUGAUCCAGCUCAAUUUAGUCAAACUACAUCAGUAAAUUCAUACAUGAUUAAGACAAAUCAUUCAAUGAAUUUACUACAGUCUAAAUAUAAAUAGAGCAUCCAACUCUAUUUCUCAACUGCGAACUUAAUUUAUUUAAUCAUAAGAUAACUUGUAUUUAUGUCUUCUGUGAAUCCAUAUGAUGAUCACAUAAAUACAUAUAAUAUGAUUAAACAGACCUUUUUCAAUAGAUUUAUACAAUUGAAAAUAAUUGUCACUAAAAAGUGUACAUUUAAUAAGGAUAAUUUCAAUAUAUUUAUCCAAUUGAAAAUAUAUCAAAUAUUAUAUUAAUCAGAAAAUAAAUUAAUAUGCUUUAAAAGAGCACAUAAUCCCAACAGAGGUCAAAUAACCUAUUUAAUCCCCAAAAAAUCUACUUAAAAUAUAAGCAGCAGCAACAAAAAAAUUAAAAAAAAAAGCUUUUGAGAUUAAAUAAAUUGUUAUGGUCAUUAGAUAUGCAAUACCAAACAUGCAUUUAAUCAUCCUCCUGCUACUAUAGGAAUUAGGUUGAUUACCAUUGGUCCAUUAAAAAAAGGUGGGACUAUUAGCACUCUAAACAUUAUUUUAAACACUCUAUUACCUUGUACACUCAUAUACUAAUUUUAAAAGAUUAAGUUUUACUUUGUACACUCUUUUUAGUUUCCAAAAAAUAUUCUUACUUGAACUAUUUAAAUUAAUUACUUUAUUUACUUGAAACUCCAAUAAAACUAUUGAAUGUACCAAUUUUAAGAGAUUUAGCAACAAUAUAACCAAUCUUGUUGUAAACAAAUUAUUUUACACAAUUUUAAUUAAUAAUUUUAUAUUUAUUUAUGUUCAAUAUUAGAUUUUACACCAAGAAUGACUUGCAAUGAAAACAUCAUAAUAAAAAGUAUUCUAUAAAUAUUAAACAAAAAGGAAAAAGGAGGAGGAGGAGGAGGUGGAGAUCACGAAGAAGACGAUUGAAAUGGGUCGAAAGCCAACAAAAAAAUGGCCAUUUGAAGUAAUUAUGUUUUAUUUCAUUUUUGAAAAGAAUAAUCACUUAUAUUUUGUGGUCAAAACUUUUUAUAUAUAUUGAUUUCCUCAUUUCUUAUCUAAAUACUAAUUAAGAUAUUGGAAAUAAAAGUUUCAGGGUUUAAAGAAUGGGAAUUACAUAGUAAACAACGAGUGUCCUACGUGGGUGAUAAAAGUAAUUAUGUAAUAUUAAUUAUAAUAAAUUGUCCUUAAUAUGAUGGAUAUAUUUUUAAUAAAUUUUUUUAUCAAAAUCUGAGUGUUUACAGUAAAUUAUAUAGUGGAAAUAUCUCCACCCUUAAAAAAAAUGAUCCUACUUAUAAAGUUAUAAAGUAACAAUUCAAAAUCAGGUUAAUUAUUUUAAAAGCAAUGAUAUUUACCAAAAUGGUUAUAUCGAAAAAGUGAGACUGAACUUGAUGAAAAUCAAAGUAACAUGGUUUGAUCUUACAUUAAUUCUAUCAACACUCUGUUAGCUAAUAGCAUUUAGUUUCUUUACUAUUUUUUUCUUAAUUUUACUGUUGAAUUAUAACAGCCAAAUUCCUAUGUGUGUGUAUAUAUCUUUUAGGUGCUUUUAUUUAUUUAUUUUAAAAAAUAUACAAAAUUUGAAACAUUGCUGAACAUAUUUUUUUUACACCUUAAAAUAAAGAGUAAUGAUAGAACCAUAACCACUUUGUACAAAUAAAGUGUGUUGAAAUUUAUGUGGCAUGAGGAUUGGUUAUAUAAAAUUAUUAUGGGACCACGUAAUUAAAAAAAUAACUGUUAUAACUUUUCAAUCAAUCUUUUCAAAUUGCAUCAAUUUGUAUAUAUUAACUUGUACAAAAUUAUUUAUGACUCUAUUAAUAUUGUAAAAUAAAUAUCCAAUGUGAUUUUAAGAUAAUUAGAUAAAUGACCUCAAGAGCGUGGUCGGGUUGAUAACAACAUGAACCUUGUAACUGCUGUCCACCCUUCAUGAACGAAAAAAAAAAUAUUUGAGUUUUUCCUACCGUCCUUACUUUUUUAAAAGAAAAAUAAAACAGAUAAAGAUAUAAGAUCCCACACGUAGAUAACCAAUAAUCAUAUGUAAUGUGAACAGUUCAUGUUAUCAUUUUAAUAAAACAUCAACAGUUCGGAAACAAGUCUCUGAACGCGCAAAAUAAAAUAUUAUAUCUUUAAUUUCAUGGAUCUUAUCUAAGCUUUUGCCUCUUUCUUUUGGAAGUUUUAUAGUUGACACAUGUAUUUCUUGUCCCUUAUGAACUUACACUUUAUUUUAAAACUCACGAAUACAUGGACAAAAUAGAAUGUAAAAGAAAUAGACAAAAACUCUCGGUUGAAUCUAUGUGGAAGAACGUCAUCCACACGGUUGUUACCAUUUGGGUCUAUAUGAGAGCCAUAGCCACAAUAUUAUCUUCCAAUAUAAAAACAUGCUUAUGCAGACUCUCACGUCAAUUGACAUUGAAACUCCGUAUAAUGUGUGUGUUGGCGUGUGUUUAUAUGUAUAUAGAGGGAGGGUACAAGCGAACAUCUAGUACUAGUCAUUAGUGGACACACUUCCUCAUCUACCCAUGGCGUCUGAAGGGAGCUGCCAGCAGGCUCACUUUGUUUUGUUCCCUUUUCUAGCUCAAGGCCAUAUGAUUCCUAUGAUAGACAUAGGUAGAUUGUUGGCUCAGAAUGGAGCUGCUAUUACUAUUGUCACCACGCCAGCUAAUGCAGCUCGUUUCAAAACAGUUGUUGCUCGUGCCAUGCAGUCUGGGCUACCACUCCAACUUAUUGAAAUACAAUUUCCAUAUCAGGAAGCCGGAAUACCAGAGGGCUCUGAGAAUUUUGACAUGCUUCAUUCAACGGACUUGCUAUUCAACUUCUUCAAGUCGCUUACACUCCUUCAAUUGCCACUUGAGAAUCUGUUAAAAGAGCUAGCACCAAAGCCAAGCUGCAUAGUCUCUGACAUGUGUUAUCCUUGGACUGUUGACACUGCUGCCAGGUUCAAUAUUCCUCGUAUAUCAUUCCAUGGAUUUUCUUGCUUCUGUCUCUUGUGUUUGUACAACUUGCACACAUCCAAGGUUCACGAAAACGUUACAUCUAAUUCUGACUACUUUGUGGUGCCUGGCUUGCCUGAUCAAAUUGAAAUGACUAAAGUUCAAGUCCCACUAAUGCGUGAGAACUCGAAAGAUUUUGGGGAAUUGGUUUUAGCAGCUGAUAUGAAAUCUUAUGGGAUUAUAAUAAAUACUUUUGAAGAAUUAGAGUCGGAGUAUGUGAAAGAAUACAAGAAAACCAAAGGAGGGAAAGUAUGGUGUCUCGGCCCUGUUUCACUUUGCAACAAACAAGACAUAGAUAAGGCUGAGAGGGGUAAAAAGGCAGCAAUUGAUGUCUCUGAAUGCUUGAACUGGCUGGAUUCGUGGCCACCUAACUCGGUGGUGUACGUUUGUCUUGGAAGUAUUUGUAAUCUAACAUCUUCGCAAAUGAUUGAGCUUGGUUUAGGUCUAGAAGCCUCUAAGAAACCAUUUAUUUGGGUUAUCAGAGGAG